AAACCACCUUGCAGAUGAUGCAAGGAAACCAGAAGCACAGGUCUAGGAGGUCUGUGGGGUCCUGGGCCACACCACUGCCUUCCCCUCGGGGACCGUGUGUCUGGAAGGAAGAAACACCAGCAGCUCUGACCUGAGCAGAGCUUCAGGGAAGAUGCAGCGGCUCCUGCUCUGCUUGGCCUUUCUUCUGCACCCCAAGCCUGGGACAGGUCUUUAUGUAUUACAGGUAGCAUGGCACAGAGGUACCCCCUUCUUAGAAGACACCACCCCUGGGGCACAGAAUGCUGCUUAGGUUGAUUGGUCUCUCACAUCAUGGAUGAAGAGGAUCUCAGAUGCUUUCCAGCCACGGUCGGGCAGCUCUCAACAGAAUCAAGUCACUAGUCCUCUUCUGUGUGCAGGGAAACUUCUGGGACACAAAGGCCUUUGCCUUGAAUAGGGAGCAGGAAAAGAGAAGUCUUCAACUGGGUCACAAUUUCCCCUGAAAGUUUGUUGGGGCUCCAGUGACCUGAGAAAGUAAUUGUCAGUGGCAGAGCCUUGCUCUUCCCUUUUCCUUCUCUGGCAGCGCACUCCAGCCACUCAGGAGAGAGAGCUACUCAACCUGCCUUGAGACUUCUAGAAAGAAGUGGAAGCACCAGGGUCUCCACAGGGUGGCCAAGGGCGAGAGAUGAAGACAGGCAGGCUUCCCCUUUUCCUCUUGUGUGUCCUUUGAUUUGUUCCUGGUGUCCUCACCACAUCACACCUCACAACACACUUGUGUUUCAUUCGCCCUUGUCCAUGUCUUGCUAAGUAUAUAUGACUAAGGAAUCCAGGAAACAUAUUCAUUUAGAGAAACUGCAAUUCCAGAUGACUGAGCUCUAAUUCUGGAGACAAGCAAAUAGAGGAAAUAGGCUGCCACCAGCUUUCAUGCAUUGUCAGGAAAUUAUUGAAUUUGGCAGGUUUAGGAUUCUAGGUCACAAGCUCCAAGCACCCCUUCAUCACCCUGGGAUCCCAUUUCUGCUCCCAGCACUGACUCAGCGGUUGUCGAGGGGAUGGUAGUGCUGGCUGGGAUGACUCUUUCUUCCCCAUAUCACUGGCAGUGGUGGGCAGCCUCCUGGGCAGCUGGGUGAUGAAACCUAUCGCACCAGCAGGAGAAUGAGACUGUGAAUUCUGACCACCAGCCCCACCCUUCCUUCCUGUCUCUGGGGACGAAAGUCCGGCAGGAAGAAGCACCAGCAGCAACUCAUUGGGCAGGCUUCCGAGGAAGAUGCAGCCGCUCCUGCUCCUGGUGGCCUUUCUCCUACCCCCAGGGCUGGGGCUGGUGAGCGACCAUUCCAACCUCAGAGAUCCGACCCUUCUCACAGACCCUGGAGCCAGACUGCCUAGGCACUGCCUACCUCAGGAUCGCAGGGCAAGUUACUUGAAUUCACAGCUCCCAGGCUCCCCAAACAUAAAAUAGCAAUCAUUUCAAUGCCUUCCUCAUACACUUGCUAUGAGAAGCAAAUUAGUUGGUGUACAUAAAAUUCUUGACUUGCCCCUGGCACCUAGAAUGUGCUAUAUAAAUGUGCUCUCUAAAUUCAUUCUGCUGCCCAUGUGUCAGAGCCGAGGCCAUAAGGAGACAGCAAUAACAGUCCCAUCAGCUCACAUCUAGAAUCUCAAAACCAGUCCCCUGUUGGUCAUGAGCUGACCAUGAGCUGGACUCAGAGGGAUCUGGGAAGUUCCCUGAGAAAGAAAGUACCAGAGAAAUUCAGGGAGAGGCCACUCCAGAAGGCUCUGGAUUUGCCAAUCAGAGAGUAGAGCAUCUCUCCUCAAUAUGUGAGGCUGAAGCUGGCCAUGCCUGGAGCAAGGGUUCUUCUCCUCCUUUGGAGGAGUUGGGAGGAGCUGGGGUCUGGGAUGAGGAGUCAGCAGUGUUUCCUGAAGAACCCUGGAGCUCUCCCCCAAUGUGUGGAGCAGAUCGCAACUCUCACGCCCAACUCCUCUUUCCUCUGCAUCCUCUCAUCUGCCUCCACAUCCUCUAGCCUUUCUGGAGCUACCAAAUUGGUGGCACACCAGUGAGUCCACAAGCACAGAGAUAAGUACCGAAUGUUUCCUUCCAGGGGAGAUCAUCAGAGGCCAAGAGGCCAAGCCUCAUUCCCAUCCCUACAUGGCAUAUCUUCAGACCCAGACUCCAAAGGGUUUGGGCACUUGCUGAGGGUUCCUGGUGCAAGAAGACUUUGUGCUGACGGCAGCUCUCUGCUGGGGAAGAAGUAAAAUUCGAGGUCACUAUGUCCCCUGCCCUCCCAUCUCAAACACCCCACCUGUGCCUGCCUUCUCUGAGGGCUGUGCCUUAGGGCAGGAGGAGUGGGGAAGCCCAACUUCGCAUCUGUUCUCAUCACCCACACCGGUACACCAGAGGCCCCCUGGUGUGUCACCAUGAGGCCCAGGGCAUCGUAUCCUAUGAAAAUAGGAUGAGGAUUCCUCCAGCAGUCUUUACCACCAUUUCCAGCUUCCUGCCCUGGAUAACGAGAUCAAGGAGACACUUCAAACAGUGGGCUCAGACUAAGACCCUGCUUGUGACUGACUACUCUGGGGCAGAGGCCAGCUCCAAGGGUGUUGCCAUAGCCUUAAUAAAUGACCACAUCUAGAGUGUAAAUAACCUAUUUCUCAUUUGUUCAGUCAACAUCAUUCAGUACACAACAAAUAUAUGCCAGGACUGAGUCUGAGCAAAUCCAGGAAAAAGGGGUCUCUUCCUCAGGACAAAUGAAUCCCCUACAGUGUCCUGGAGAUCAGGAUGAGCUUCUUCCCUCCUCCAAGCCAUCUAAUCCCUCAUCUCCCCUCCCCUCAUGGCCUUGGGAAGGGAUGG
Molecule: long non-coding RNA, 2815 nt
Organism: Equus caballus (horse)
Lineage: Eukaryota; Metazoa; Chordata; Mammalia; Perissodactyla; Equidae
Source: Ensembl